AACGAACGCUGGCGGCGUGCCUAACACAUGCAAGUCGAACGAAACCUUCGGGUCUAUUUGCGCACGUGGACGUACCACGUGGUAACCUGCCCUUAGGUUCGCAAUCCCUCCCUGAAGGGGGUCCUAAUACCACAUAAUGUCUUCGGACCAAAGAUUUAUCGCCUUUUGAUGGGGCGCGUUGGAUUAGCUCGUUGGUAGGGGGAAAGCCUACCAAUGAGACGUUCCAUAGCUGGUCUGAGAGGAUGACCAGCCACAACGGGCCUGCGGCACGGCCCAGACUCCGAGGGGAGGGAGCAGUGGGGAAUAUUGGAGAAGGGGGGAAAGCCUGAUCCAGCAAUGCGGGGGGAGUGAUGAAGGGCUUAGUGUUGUACUGCCCUUUUAGCCGGGACGAUAAUGACAGUAACGGGAGAAGAAGCACCGGCUAACUACGUG
Molecule: ribosomal RNA, 432 nt
Filed under: uncultured bacterium
Lineage: Bacteria
Description: partial 16S ribosomal RNA
Rfam family: Bacterial small subunit ribosomal RNA
Source: RNAcentral